RNAcentral lists this ribosomal RNA (433 nucleotides) under uncultured bacterium. RNAcentral's name for it is "partial 16S ribosomal RNA". It matches the Rfam family "Bacterial small subunit ribosomal RNA", at positions 29 to 507 of the family's 1533-position model. The record is from RNAcentral.
AACGAACGCUGGCGGCAUGCCUAACACAUGCAAGUCGAACGAUGCCUUCGGGCCUAGUGGCGCACGGGUGCGUAACGCGUGGGAAUCUGCCUUUCGGUUCGGAAUAACUCAGGGAAACGUGUGCUAAUACCGGAUAACGUCGCAAGACCAAAGAUUUAUCACCGAAAGAUGAGCCCGCGUUGGAUUAGCUAGUUGGUGAGGUAAAGGCUCACCAAGGCGACGAUCCUUAGCUGGUCUGAGAGGAUGAUCAGCCACACUGGGACUGAGACACGGCCCAGACUCCUACGGGAGGCAGCAGUGGGGAAUAUUGGACAAUGGGCGAAAGCCUGAUCCAGCAAUGCCGCGUGAGUGAUGAAGGCCUUAGGGUUGUAAAGCUCUUCUACCCGGGAAGAUAAUGACGGUACCGGGAGAAUAAGCCCCGGCUAACUCCGUG